RNAcentral lists this ribosomal RNA (460 nucleotides) under uncultured bacterium. Its description in RNAcentral is "partial 16S ribosomal RNA". It matches the Rfam family "Bacterial small subunit ribosomal RNA", at positions 338 to 795 of the family's 1533-position model. The record is from RNAcentral.
CCUACGGGAGGCUGCAGUGAGGAAUAUUGGUCAAUGGACGCGAGUCUGAACCAGCCAAGUAGCGUGAAGGAUGACUGCCCUACGGGUUGUAAACUUCUUUUAUAUGGGAAUAAAACGUUCCACGUGUGGCAUUUUGUAUGUACCAUAUGAAUAAGGAUCGGCUAACUCCGUGCCAGCAGCCGCGGUAAUACGGAGGAUCCGAGCGUUAUCCGGCUUUAUUGGGUUUAAAGGGAGCGUAGGUGGAUUGUUAAGUCAGUUGUGAAAGUUUGCGGCUCAACCGUAAAAUUGCAGUUGAAACUGGCAGUCUUGAGUACAGCAGAGGUGGGCGGAAUUCGUGGUGUAGCGGUGAAAUGCUUAGAUAUCACGAAGAACUCCGAUUGCGAAGGCAGUUCACUGGACUGCAACUGACACUGAGGCUCGAAAGUGUGGGUAUCAAACAGGAUUAGAUACCCCUGUAGUC